UACGUAGGGUCCGAGCGUUGUCCGGAAUUAUUGGGCGUAAAGAGCUCGUAGGCGGUCAGUCGCGUCUGCUGUGAAAACUCGGGGCUUAACUCCGGGCCUGCAGUGGGUACGGGCUGACUAGAGUGCGGUAGGGGAGACUGGAAUUCCUGGUGUAGCGGUGAAAUGCGCAGAUAUCAGGAGGAACACCGGUGGCGAAGGCGGGUCUCUGGGCCGUAACUGACGCUGAGGAGCGAAAGCGUGGGGAGCGAACAGG
RNAcentral lists this ribosomal RNA (253 nucleotides) under uncultured bacterium. RNAcentral describes it as "partial 16S ribosomal RNA". It matches the Rfam family "Bacterial small subunit ribosomal RNA", at positions 524 to 776 of the family's 1533-position model. The record is from RNAcentral.